GAUGAACGCUGGCGGCGUGCCUAAUACAUGCAAGUCGAGCGAACAGACGAGGCGCUUGCUCCUCUGACGUUAGCGGCGGACGGGUGAGUAACACGUGGAUAACCUACCUAUAAGACUGGGAUAACUUCGGGAAACCGGAGCUAAUACCGGAUAAUAUAUUGAACCGCAUGGUUCAAUAGUGAAAGACGGUUUUGCUGUCACUUAUAGAUGGAUCCGCGCCGCAUUAGCUAGUUGGUAAGGUAACGGCUUACCAAGGCAACGAUGCGUAGCCGACCUGAGAGGGUGAUCGGCCACACGGGAACUGAGACACGGUCCAGACUCCUACGGGAGGCAGCAGUAGGGAAUCUUACGCAAUGGGCGAAAGCCUGACGGAGCAACGCCGCGUGAGUGAUGAAGGUCUUCGGAUCGUAAAACUCUGUUAUUAGGGAAGAACAAAUGUGUAAGUAACUAUGCACGUCUUGACGGUACCUAAUCAGAAAGCCACGGCUAACUACGUG
This 497-nucleotide ribosomal RNA is filed under the name uncultured bacterium. Its description in RNAcentral is "partial 16S ribosomal RNA". It matches the Rfam family "Bacterial small subunit ribosomal RNA", at positions 28 to 507 of the family's 1533-position model. The record is from RNAcentral.